Suricata suricatta (meerkat) is the source of this 1835-nucleotide long non-coding RNA. RefSeq lists it as uncharacterized. NCBI's taxonomy places the organism in Eukaryota, Metazoa, Chordata, Mammalia, Carnivora, Herpestidae. The transcript is spliced from 3 exons. The record is from RefSeq and is a predicted model, not a curated record.
UUUAAAAAUUACAACCAAGUGCUGGGAAUGCAGGCCUUGCCUCCGCUGUGAGGAGCCCGUUUCCCAACCGGAGCUGAUAACUGACGGCUGCAGACGCGUCAGACAAAAGAAAAGGGAAAACCCUGAAAGGAUUGCUCGGUGUUACCAGCAGAGUGACGAAGAGGAGGACGGCAGGGCUGAAGGCAGGAGGCGAGGGGCCGCCCCGUAAGGUGCGCACCCACACUCCAGGGUCUCAUCGCCACAUCCGCGGGCACGUAACCUGCGUAAUUAAAUUAUCCGGCUGGACCCAAGCCUGCGCCUCCAAAGCCUGACUCCUCUGCCUCCCGUUCUGAAAAAAUGCAAACGUAAAUAAACAGCGUCAUCACGGCCACCUAAUUGAGACUUGGGAACAGGAAAGAGUCACGACGCUGUGGCUUCAAAUACCAGAAGCAGUGACUGGAUUAGAAAGGAGAUUGGCGAUUUCAGCGAAUCCGAGGCCAGACCUCAGGGCCCCAGUCCUCUGCCGCCCUCAGCACGUCUGUGGAUCCCCCACCGUCUCGAGAUGGCCACUUGCAUUGGUUCUGGGUGUUGCCUCCAGGAAUGACAGCUUCCAGAAGCAGGGAGACACGGUCUCUCUGUGGGCUUCUCCUGGGUUACCCUGAAGACCUCCUCUUGACCAACUGGCCAGAACUGCAUCCUAAGCCUGUGGUGCAGAUCAACCCCUGGUUGAAGGCCGGGGGUGACCUCGGCAGAUCACUGUCCGACUGGCAUUCGGGACAGUGAUCUGCACAGGUGUGCCCAGGCCUGGCAGGGCAUUUAACGUCCCCGGCCUCUGACAGUGCCCCCGCCCCCACGGUUCCAGCACCCGUGUUUAUACACCAGUGGUCUACACUUUCUGCGGCUGAGACUGGCCAUCCUUCCCUGGAGCAGGUGGCUUCCCUAAGGAGGGGGUCACACCAGCCGAGGGAGACUCCGUAAUGACAGGUGGGGCAUGUGGAUGGGGCCAGGCCACCAGCAAAGUCGCCGCUUGCGCUCGUUGGUGAAACUGAUCCAGGGUGCUGUGUGCCUUCUUUUCAUCAGAUCUGCCGUUGUAGCCUGGUAAGCCGAGCGGGGGAACCCCCGCAGCCCUCUGACAGGCGGCCUGCGCCUUCUGCAGACUGGCCGCUGGAGCCCACGUCCCCUUUCAGUAGUUUAUAGUCUGUGGCUGUUGGUCUCUUCUUGUUUGCUCCCUUCUCUUGGGUCAACUUUGAUCAUUUAAGUCUUGAUACAUCCAUUUCUCAAGUCUUCUAGUUUACAUUCAUGAUGUUUUCUAAGUUUGUAAAAUCUCCCCUGUGGCUGGGUUACUGUUCUUUUCUUAAGAGUAUUUGUGUUUUUCCUCUGAGGCAGCCACUACUCAUGGUCACCCCAAACCCAUUCCUGUCCUCCUGAAAGACAGAGCCUGCCUGUGUUUGGAACGGCGAUGUGUCAGCUGGAACUCCUGGCCUCCCUUGUGGCCAUGUGUGGCCGUGUGACCAAGUUCUAGGGGGAUUGGGGGGAUUUUUGCUUUCCUCUUUGACACUUCCUUCUUUCUCCUCCUUAGCACACAGAAAUGAGCCCUGAGGAGGAGUAACUGGUCUCUGCUGUGAGGCUGGAAGCAGCUGCAGGAACCGGGGAGGGAAGGCCCUGUGGCCGCGCCCCACGGCCUCCCCCGCAGGCUCCGAAUGAUGUUCUGGGGAAAAAUAGUAAACUUCUCACUCCUCCACACCCAAACAGCUGUGUCCCGAUCUCAGGCGGUCAGAAGUGGAUCCUAGAGGGGCGCCUGGGGGGCUCAGUCAGUUAAGCAUCCAACUUUGGCUCAGGUCAUAAUCUCACCGUUC